GUGAUUGUUAGUGGUUUAAGUCAUUUUCUGAUGUUUAUGUUUUCACCUCGCUGUGACGUCAUCAGGAGUCUAAUUCCUGCGCUGAGACUCCCAGACCAGUCUAGACAUAGUUCAGUCACUUCAAUAGUUCUUCAGUGACUCACGUCAUACCGCCGCUCCCUGCUUUUAUUACCUCACUGGGCCUGUUGUGCUCCUACACUGUAUGGGACACGCCCAAAAAAACCAGAAACUGUUGUUCAGACUCUAAAGUCGCCACUGUGAAUGUGAGAGAAGACGUUUCCUGUGUCUGUGAGUCUCAUCUGGAGAAAUAACAACAGCUGUGGCAGCGGGGGCGUGGUCAAGCGCCGGUCUGUGACAGGAGGGCGGAGUCAGGGAAGGUAAGUGGCAGAAUCACUACACCUGACAUGAAUUAACCUGUUUGUGUGUGUCUUCCCAGUGACCGCGCCCUACUUAAGGAGGGAGAGCGAGCGCAGAGGGGCUGAUCUCUGAACUAGACGCUUCUUAUGUUGAUGUGUGUCUGUUCAUUUGGAAGUUGUUAGACUGAAAAGUGUGGCAAUAAAGCCCUUUUGGAAACCUGA
Molecule: long non-coding RNA, 578 nt
Organism: Neoarius graeffei (lesser salmon catfish)
Lineage: Eukaryota; Metazoa; Chordata; Actinopteri; Siluriformes; Ariidae
Exons: 3
Source: RefSeq, a predicted model, not a curated record